GUUAGUCUAUGGGGCUCCUUCAUACCAGAACUGUCUUAAUUUGAUGGUAUACUUGUGCUUUGCAUAGUAAGUUUCCAUAUUCCUCUGUAGUAACCCCACCAACAUCUGUUUUGUCUUCACCUACAGUAAUGUGGUUGGACUAUCCAAUGUUUUCCUUGGGUCACUUGCCGCCAUUUUUCUUCUGUGUGCCAUGAGUGGUUUUCUGAGUGUUUCCCUGUACAAAUAACUAAAUAUAAAUUGACCAUUAUUUUUAUCUGAGAUAAACUGAAUCACGCCCAAUCAUCAUUGUCUAUAAACA
This 298-nucleotide unclassified non-coding RNA is filed under the name Hevea brasiliensis (rubber tree). Lineage: Eukaryota; Viridiplantae; Streptophyta; Magnoliopsida; Malpighiales; Euphorbiaceae. The record is from RNAcentral.